This 88-nucleotide small nuclear RNA is filed under the name Panthera tigris altaica (Amur tiger). RNAcentral describes it as "U5 spliceosomal RNA (ENSPTIG00000001686.1)". It matches the Rfam family "U5 spliceosomal RNA", at positions 1 to 89 of the family's 117-position model. From Rfam's summary of the family: U5 RNA is a component of both types of known spliceosome. The precise function of this molecule is unknown, though it is known that the 5' loop is required for splice site selection and p220 binding, and that both the 3' stem-loop and the Sm site are important for Sm protein binding and cap methylation. The record is from Rfam by way of RNAcentral. Lineage: Eukaryota; Metazoa; Chordata; Mammalia; Carnivora; Felidae.
UACUCUGGUUUCUCUUCAGACUGUAUAAAUCUUUCGCCUUUUACUAAAGAUUUCGGUGGAAACUACCCAGCCAAGAAGCUGAACAAAC